GGGUGGGUUGAGGAGAGUUCUGGUAGUGUGGAUGGGGUGGAUUCCUAUAAGUCACAUCUGCAUAACCUGAUUUUUGUUGCACCGAGGGAACCACUAGUUGUGGUUUUCAUGAGAAAUUCGGAUGGUUCCUCCAUCAUGGGUUGUACGUACUAGAAUAGGGGUUGCUCGUACUAGAAUAGAGAUUGUUUCUUGGUCUAUGAGUAGUUUGGGCUUGAUGGACUUGCUCUUGUACAUAUUCAAAAAACUAUAGUAUAG
This 255-nucleotide long non-coding RNA is filed under the name Elaeis guineensis (African oil palm). Its description in RNAcentral is "long non-coding RNA (EGUI_LNC043105)". Lineage: Eukaryota; Viridiplantae; Streptophyta; Magnoliopsida; Arecales; Arecaceae. The record is from RNAcentral.